UACGGGGGGGGCAAGCGUUGUUCGGAAUUACUGGGCGUAAAGGGCUCGUAGGCGGCCAACUAAGUCGGAUGUGAAAUCCCCAGGCUCAACUUGGGAACUGCAUCCGAUACUGGAUGGCUUGAAUUCGGGAGAGGGAUGCAGAAUUCCAGGUGUAGCGGUGAAAUGCGUAGAUAUCUGGAGGAAUACCGGUGGCGAAGGCGGCAUCCUGGACCGACAUUGACGCUGAGGAGCGAAAGCUAGGGGAGCAACGGG
This 252-nucleotide ribosomal RNA is filed under the name uncultured bacterium. RNAcentral describes it as "partial 16S ribosomal RNA". It matches the Rfam family "Bacterial small subunit ribosomal RNA", at positions 524 to 775 of the family's 1533-position model. The record is from RNAcentral.